RNAcentral lists this long non-coding RNA (5441 nucleotides) under Homo sapiens (human). RNAcentral describes it as "HSALNT0215990". The stretch from base 3375 to 3446 matches the Rfam family "Small nucleolar RNA SNORD113/SNORD114 family". The record is from RNAcentral. Lineage: Eukaryota; Metazoa; Chordata; Mammalia; Primates; Hominidae.
GCAGAGACCAAUGAUGAGUGUAUUAAUCUAUUUUUUAAUGGAUUUUUAUUAAACAAAUAAUAAAAGAAACACAGUCUAUUCUUCCUGAGGGCAAUAACUCUAGACAGAUGUAAAUAUUCUUCAGUGUUCUUGUCCAGUGCUGUGAGAUCACAGAUACUGAUGUCUUUUGUAUAUGAGAAGGAACUUGCAUUUUUAUGUCUCAGUUUAUAUUUUAGAGUCAGCAAACCAUGGACCAAUUAGGAACAAAUGUUAUGAUAUGAGAAUGCUGAUUCUUGUUUUUUUUUUUCAUGAUAGACAUUCUAAGAAAAACUCUAGGCUCUCUCAUUGUUUUUGGAAUACAUACAUGGUUCUUUCCAAGUAGUUUCUUAGAAAAAUGUUUUUAAAAAGAGGCUUUUAAAAAGAGCCUUUUAAAAUGUUUUUAAAAGAAGGCUUUAUUUUUCUCUAUAGAAUGAAAACCAUGUAGCUGGUCUUAUUAUUCUCUAAUCAUGAAGACCAUUAUUGUUAUUUGUGGACUAAGGAGCAGAAAGACUGAUAGUGGACAUAGGCCAGCUGAUUUAAUAAUUUAAGAAAGAACUGUUAUCCUGAGUAAGGAGCAUAGAGACAAAUAUAAAAUGAACGCACUCUACCUGAUUUAAUUAUAGUCUUCUGGUGAAGAUCUUGCUGUUAUCUCUGUGAAUCAGGAGAGAAGAGAUUGAUAAGGAAUAGACGAGAUUGGAUUUGGUCAUUUCCCCAAGGUGAAGAGCAUGGCGAUUUCUUCUGUGGUAAGGAGCAAUAAUGAAGACCAUGGUUGAUUUAAUCAGUCUCUGCUGAUGAAGAUCUUGGCUGUUACCUUUGUGUAAUGAAUGCGCAAUGAUUCAAUUAUUCUCCAGCGAGGAAGAUCAUGGUUGUUGUCUGUUUGAGUAAUGAGUGUAGAAACCUAUAAUGGAGGCGUGAUGGCUGAUGCAAUCAUUUUCCACUGAUGAAGGUUUUGAUGGCCACCUGUAAUGAACAGCCCCAUCUGAUUUAAUCACUGUGCAAUGACCGUGAACUGUACAGUUACCUCCGUGUGUCACAGGAAGACUCUUUUGACUUAAGCACCCUUCCAUGGUCAUGAGGUUUCUGGUUGCCUCUGUGUGUUAGAAGCUUGGAGACCAAUGCCUUCUGCUGUGAUCGCGUUCUCCACAGUUGCCUCUGGGUAGGAGCCUGGACACUAAUAGAAAAUGGAUGCACUUGAGCCGACCUAAGCAUUCAUGGUCAUGAGAUUUGUGGUUGCCACUGUUGGUUAGGAGCAUAGAGAUCAGUAAUGGACACACCUGGGCUGGCAGAACAUCUUGCCUUGAUCUGGAGCCCCAUGUCUGCCCCUCUGUAGAGGUGCACAUGGGCCAAUGAUGGAUGCAAUGAGCUGAUCAUUUUGCUGUGAUCAAGGCUAUGUUGCCUCUGUGUUAGGCCAAUGGUUGAUGUUCAUGGGUGAUUGAUCAUCCUGUAGCGACGGUGGUAUUGACUGUUCCCCAGAGGACAAGGAGUGUGUUCUUAUAAUGGACAUCAUGAUUGGGAUUGUCUUUAUUAAACUUUGUCAGGAGAGUAAAGAUCAAUGUGGCCACAUGUUGUGGCUCAUGCCUGUAAUCCCAACACUGUAAUCCCAGCACUGUAAUCCCAGCCUGUAAUCCCAGGCUGAGGUGGGCGGAUCACCUGAGGUUGGGAGUUCGAGACCAGCCUGACCAACAUGGAGAAACCCCGUCUCUACUAAAAAUACAAAAUUAGCCGGGCAUGGUGGCGCAUGUCUUUAAUUCCAGCUACUCAGGAGGCUGAGGCAGGAGAAACGCUUGAACCCGAGAGGCGGAGGUUGCAGUGAGCUGAGAUUGCGCCAUUGCACUCCAGCCUGGGCAACAAGAGUGAAACUCCAUCUCAAAAGAAAAAAAAAAGAAAACAAAACAAAAAAAGAAAAAACCAAUGUAAGUACCUGUUAAAGUUCUUGCUAUGGUUCCAGUGGUUUGCUUCCUAACUGUGUUAUUUAGAAAUUUGAAGUAUAUUUAAUGAAUGUCCUCCCUUCCCACUGGCCCUGCCAGGCAUGCUGCCAUCUGUUCUCUGGGACUUGUGAGUAGUACACUGCUCCUGUUAUUUCAUGUGCUUUGCUAAGUUGUUUCUUCUGUGUCUCAACUGAUCAACACACCCAGACCUAACUGAUUUCCAGGUUGGGGCUCUCCUAGAGAGUGCCUCUCUUGGUAGGAAUAAACUGGACACAGACAAGAGCCUCCAUGGUGUCUGCCUGUAUAACCAAGUUUUCUAUGAGAGGGACAAUGGGUCAUAGAUUGAACACUUGGGCAUUACAUCUGUGAGAAUAAGUCUAUAGUAAAUUUCAGUAAAUUUGAGGGAUCUAAUUAUGGGGUUUCAGUAGAUCCUGGGGAUUUAUUGCAUUAUUCGAAGGAAAUAAAUGAAAGAAUCAGCAAAACAUACAGACACACAUAUAAAUAAUUAAAGAUGAAGAGGAUAAAGCUGGAUUAAUUGAGGAAAAUGCUAUCAGACAGGAAUUUUUGGUUCUGUAAUUCUGAAACACUGCAAUGCAUUAAGAAACCUGUACAUCAAGGGUGUCACCUGUCUAGGGUAGGGUAAUAUAGAGUAGUUGUUCUCAAAUGCGAGCAUUGGAGUGACCUGGAGGGCUUGUAAAAUACAGAAGGUCACCUACAUUCUCAGGAUUUCUGAUUCAGUAGGUUUGGUGUGGGGUCUGAGAAUCUAAAUUUCUAAUAACUUAAUUUCUGUAGGUUCCAAUAGUUUCCCAAAUCAUGCUGAUGCUGCCUCCUGAGAAAUAUUUUCAGAAUCACUGAGAAAAAUGUAUGAAAUAGUUAAUGUCCUUGCUCUGUGUCAGUGGUGGAGGCUGUCUGCAGUAGGAGCAUGGAGACCAACAAUGGAUGCUCUUAAACUGAUUUAAGCACGCUUCCAUGGUCAGAAGCCUUAUGGUUGCCACAGGGUAUUAGGAGCAUGGAGACCAAUAAUGGAUGUCCUUGUUCUGAUUUGAGGAUGCCUCCAAGGUCACAUACUCUGUUUGCACCACGCUUAGGAAGGAGCGUGAAGACCAAGGGGAGUAAUAGUCAAAGUCCUUACCUUUGUUUGGGUGGUUUGUUUAAGAGUAAUCAACGUAUUAUUUAAAAGUGUGAAAUACAGUCAAAGAUGGCCAAUGUUAUUCCAGUGAUAUGGGAGUGACAUGAAGUAUUAUAUUGAUGAUGCAUAUAUAAAAAACAGGAUAGUUAAUGAAACACCCAAUGUUUGAGUGAUUCUGUAUACUGAUAGGGAAUAUCAAGAGUGUUACUGGGUUUUGUGAAUCACGGGCCUUGAAAGUAUUAUUAAUGAAUAAAUGACAUAAUCAAUAGACAAGGUAGAAAUGAAUAGCAAAAAAAAAGAAGAUCAAUGAUGACUACUGUUAGUGUAUGAGUUACACAUGAUGAAUACAUGUCUGAAACUCUGAGGUCCAUCACAAAAGAAAUCUGGCCCAUUCCUUCUGAUUCAGGUGAUCCUAUGAAUAUACAAUGUGUUUGCUUUUGGUCUUUGGGUUUGUUCACUUCACUGUAUUAUUAUAAUUGGAUCAAUGAAAUAAUUUAUACGUAUACAUGUACGUAUAUGAAGGGGAUGAAGUAUUGUCCAAUUAUAAAAUAAGUGGUGAGGCAAGAUGUAUUAUUAUUAUUAUAUUAAAGCAUUAUAUUAAAGCUUUAAUAUAUUAAAUAAAAAUCUAAUAUUAAUAUAUAAUUAAUGCAAUAUUUAAUAUAUAUUAAAUAUGAUAACAUAUUAAAAUAUUAUAUUAAAGCAUUGAAGUCCUAAGGGAAAUAAAUGGUACCCCACUGUAACGUCUUUGACUAAGGAUGAUACAGGUGGUAGUUAUAGAUAAUGGUCAACCUCUGGGUCAAGGAAAGUUGCACAAAGUGUUCAUUUUCUUAAGAGAAAAUGAAAUAAUUAUCCUUCAGAUAGUGAUUUCUCAAAUGUUUUCCUAAAGGGAAGAUGAUAAACACAGAUCAUGGAGGACUGUUUUAUCUGUUUGUGAUCUGCCGUCCUCUGUGAGCCUCAGGAUGGAUGUUUGCCAGCCGAUUCCAUGGUUACAAGCUCUAUAGCUGCAUCUAUGUGUUAGGAGCAUGAAGACCAAUAAUGGAUGCACUGAGCUGAUUAUGAAUUUAGCCCUGAUGAAGACUUGUGUUGCUGUCAUGAUAUGAAAGAUUCCAGUAAUGAACGCACUUGAGUUGAUUCAAGCACGCUUCCAUGGUCAUGAGCUCUGUGGUUGCAUCUGUGUGUUAGGAGCAUGCAGACCAAUAGUGAUAAUCUCGAGGUGAUUUAUGCAUUCUUCCAUGGCCACCAGCCUUAUGAUUGCAUCUGUGCGUCACAGCUUAGAGAUCAAUAAUGGAUGCAACAAGCUCUUUGAAUCAUUCUGUUGGGAUCAAGAUUGUUGUGUUCCCUCUGUUUGGAAAGAGACCAAGAAUGGAUACGCUCAGGUGAUUUAAGCAGUCUUCCAUGGCCACGAGCUCUGUGGUUGCCUCUGUAUAUUAAGAGCACAGAGAUUAAAAAUGGGUGCACUUGAGCCGAUUGAAACAUUCCUCCUUGCAUCUUUCUUCUGUGAUUGCAUCUAUUUGUUAGUAGCAUAGAGACCAAUAAUAGAUGGCUUGUGCUGAUGGAAGGAUUCCUCCCUGGUGACAUGCUGUGUCUGCCUCUUGAUUGGGAGCACGCAGACCUACAAUGAUGCACUUUUUAUGAUUUGAGAAUUCCUUCAUGGUCACGUGCUCUGUUUUUAUCAUGGUUGGGAGCCUGCAGAGCAAUAAGGGACAUGCCUUUGCUGAUUUGAGGAUUCCUCUGAGGUUGGGAGCUAAGUUUGCAUCAUGCUUAGAAAGGAGUGUGCAGACCUGUAAUGAUUGCACUUUGCUGAUUGAAGGAUUCCUUCAAGUCCAUGUGCUCCACUUGCACCAUUUUUAGGAUGGAGCCUGGAGACCUAUAAUGAACAACUUGUGCUGUGUUAAGGAUUCCUCCAUGAUCACGCGCCCCAUUUGUACACCAUGCUUGGGAAGGUGCAUGCAGACCAAUGUUAGUAAUAGUCAAAAUUCCUGUGUCGGUUUGUGUGGUUUGCUAAACAGGACUCAAUGUAUCAUGAAACAGUGUAUUAUAUAGUCAACUAUGGUCAACUAUGUCCCAGUGAUAUUUAUGAGAGGGAUCUGAAGUAUUUAUUGAUAAUGCAUAUAUGAAAAACGGAGAAGAAUUAAUGAAACAGAUAUAUCUGUGUUAGAAUGAUUCUGUAUAAAGAUAGGGAAUAUCAAGUCUGUUCUUAGUGUUUUGUGAAUCACAGAGUGUAAAAUUAUUCCCAGUGAAUUAAUGAAUAAAUUUAAAGACAACAUAGAAAUGAAUGCAGAAAAAGAGGGUCAACCCUGGAUCGAUGAUGAGCACUGGUGGAGUAUGAGUCACAUACGAUGAAUACGUGUCUGGAACUCUGAGGU